CCUACGGGAGGCAGCAGUCGAGAAUCAUUCACAAUGGGGGAAACCCUGAUGGGGCGACGCCGCGUGGGGGAAUGAAGGUCUUCGGAUUGUAAACCCCUGUCAUGUGGGAGCAAAUUAAAAAGAUAGUACCACAAGAGGAAGAGACGGCUAACUCUGUGCCAGCAGCCGCGGUAAUACAGAGGUCUCAAGCGUUGUUCGGAAUCACUGGGCGUAAUGCGUGCGUAGGCUGUUUCGUAAGUCGUGUGUGAAAGGCGCGGGCUCAACCCGCGGACGGCACAUGAUACUGCGAGACUAGAGUAAUGGAGGGGGAACCGGAAUUCUCGGUGUAGCAGUGAAAUGCGUAGAUAUCGAGAGGAACACUCGUGGCGAAGGCGGGUUCCUGGACAUUAACUGACGCUGAGGCACGAAGGCCAGGGGAGCGAAAGGGAUUAGAUACCCGUGUAGUC
This 446-nucleotide ribosomal RNA is filed under the name uncultured bacterium. Its description in RNAcentral is "partial 16S ribosomal RNA". It matches the Rfam family "Bacterial small subunit ribosomal RNA", at positions 338 to 795 of the family's 1533-position model. The record is from RNAcentral.